Molecule: ribosomal RNA, 65 nt
Filed under: Cutaneotrichosporon cutaneum
Lineage: Eukaryota; Fungi; Basidiomycota; Tremellomycetes; Trichosporonales; Trichosporonaceae
Description: partial 28S ribosomal RNA
Rfam family: Eukaryotic large subunit ribosomal RNA (bases 9-65)
Source: RNAcentral
UUGAACUCUGGUCUCAAAUCAGGUAGGGCUACCCGCUGAACUUAAGCAUAUCAAUAAGCGGAGGA